GACGGAGGAUGCAAGCGUUAUCCGGAAUUAUUGGGCGUAAAGCGUCCGCAGGUGGCAGUUCAAGUCUGCUGUCAAAGACCGGGGCUUAACUUCGGAAAGGCAGUGGAAACUGAACAGCUAGAGUAUGGUAGGGGCAGAGGGAAUUCCUGGUGUAGCGGUGAAAUGCGUAGAGAUCAGGAAGAACAUCGGUGGCGAAGGCGCUCUGCUGGACCAUAACUGACACUCAGGGGCGAAAGCUAGGGGAGCGAAUGGG
This 253-nucleotide ribosomal RNA is filed under the name uncultured bacterium. Its description in RNAcentral is "partial 16S ribosomal RNA". It matches the Rfam family "Bacterial small subunit ribosomal RNA", at positions 524 to 776 of the family's 1533-position model. The record is from RNAcentral.